This 205-nucleotide ribosomal RNA is filed under the name Salmonella enterica subsp. enterica serovar Typhimurium. RNAcentral describes it as "partial 16S ribosomal RNA". It matches the Rfam family "Bacterial small subunit ribosomal RNA", at positions 342 to 539 of the family's 1533-position model. The record is from RNAcentral. Lineage: Bacteria; Pseudomonadati; Pseudomonadota; Gammaproteobacteria; Enterobacterales; Enterobacteriaceae.
CGGGAGGCAGCAGUGGGGAAUAUUGCACAAUGGGCGCAAGCCUGAUGCAGCCAUGCCGCGUGUAUGAAGAAGGCCUUCGGGUUGUAAAGUACUUUCAGCGGGGAGGAAGGUGUUGUGGUUAAUAACCGCAGCAAUUGACGUUACCCGCAGAAGAAGCACCGGCUAACUCCGUGCCAGCAGCCGCGGUAAUACGGAGGGUGCAAGC